GACGAACGCUGGCGGCGUGCUUAACACAUGCAAGUCGAACGGAAAGGCCCUGCUUGCAGGGUACUCGAGUGGCGAACGGGUGAGUAACACGUGGGUGAUCUGCCCUGCACUUCGGGAUAAGCCUGGGAAACUGGGUCUAAUACCGGAUAUGACCUUCCAUGUAGUGUGGGGGGUGGAAAGAUUUAUCGGCGUGGGAUGAGCCCGCGGCCUAUCAGCUUGUUGGUGGGGUAAUGGCCUACCAAGGCGUCGACGGGUAGCCGGCCUGAGAGGGUGGACGGCCACAUUGGGACUGAGAUACGGCCCAGACUCCUACGGGAGGCAGCAGUGGGGAAUAUUGCACAAUGGGCGGAAGCCUUAUGCAGCGACGCCGCGUGGGGGAUGACGGCCUUCGGGUUGUAAACCUCUUUCGACAGGGACGAAGCUUCGGUGACGGUACCUGUAUAAGAAGCACCGGCUAACUACGUG
Molecule: ribosomal RNA, 465 nt
Filed under: uncultured bacterium
Lineage: Bacteria
Description: partial 16S ribosomal RNA
Rfam family: Bacterial small subunit ribosomal RNA
Source: RNAcentral